This 484-nucleotide ribosomal RNA is filed under the name uncultured bacterium. Its description in RNAcentral is "partial 16S ribosomal RNA". It matches the Rfam family "Bacterial small subunit ribosomal RNA", at positions 30 to 507 of the family's 1533-position model. The record is from RNAcentral.
AUUGAACGCUGGCGGCAGGCCUUACACAUGCAAGUCGAGCGGAUGAAGGUAUCUUGCUCCUGGGUUCAGCGGCUGACGGGUGAGUAAUGCCUAUGAAUCUGCCUGCUAGUGCGGGAUAACGUCCCUAAACGGGCGCUAAUUCCGCAUCCGUCCUGAGGGUGAGCGUGGGGGAUCUUCGGCCCUCGCGCUAUCAGAUGAGCCUAGGUUGGCUUACCUAGUUGGUGGGGUAAAGGCGUACCAAGGCGACGAUCAGUAACUGUUCUGAGAGGAUGAUCAGUGACACUGGAAGAGAGACACGGUCCAGACUCGGACGGGAGGCAGCAGUGGGGAAUAUUGGGCGAUGGGAGAAAGCAUGAUCCAGCAAUGCCGCAAGUGUGAAGAAGGUAAUGGGAUUGGAAAGCAAAAUAAGUAGGGAGGAAGGGCAGUAAGUUAAGACCUAGCGGUUUUGACGGUACCAACAGAAUAAGCACCGGCUAACUUCGUG